This 238-nucleotide non-coding RNA is filed under the name Tumebacillus algifaecis. RNAcentral describes it as "T-box sequence". It matches the Rfam family "T-box leader". From Rfam's summary of the family: Uncharged tRNA acts as the effector for transcription antitermination of genes in the T-box leader family. T-boxes are found upstream of many aminoacyl-tRNA synthetase genes and some amino acid biosynthetic genes usually in Gram-positive bacteria. The anticodon of a specific tRNA base pairs to a specifier sequence within the T-box motif, and the NCCA acceptor tail of the tRNA base pairs to a conserved bulge in the T-box antiterminator hairpin. The record is from RNAcentral. Lineage: Bacteria; Bacillati; Bacillota; Bacilli; Caryophanales; Alicyclobacillaceae.
AUCUUGACGUUGAGCGGGAAGAGUACCUCGUGGAGUCCUUUACAGCGAACCGGGUUUGGUGUGAGCCGGGAAAGGGAAAGCUUGGGAAAAUCACCCGGGAGUCGUGUGCCGAAUCCCGUUUGGGUAGUAAGUAACACCGUUUUGCCCUCGUUACCGGGCCGUUGAGUGGUCAUGGCUUCUUUGUCAUGGCAAUCAGGGUGGUACCACGGAAGAUUAUGAGAAGUCUCUCGUCCCUAUU